ACGGGAGGCAGCAGUAGGGAAUAUUGCACACUGGGGGAAACCCUGAUGCAGCAACGCCACGUGUGGGAAGAAGCAUUUCGGUGUGUAAACCACCGUCGUGAGGGAAUAAUGCUGGACCUCGUUCCAGUUGAAUGUACUUUGAAAGGAAGCACCGGCAAACUUCGUGCCAGCAGCCGCGGUAAUACGAGGGAUGCAAGCGUUGUUCGGAAUCACUGGGCGUAAAGGGAGCGCAGGCGGAGAUGCAAGCAGUCUGUACAAUACCGGGGCCCAACCCCGGACCUGCAGACUGGACUGUUGCUCUUGGAUAGCUCAGGGGCUGGCGGAAUUCCUGGUGUAGCGGUGGAAUGCGUAGAGAUCAGGAAGAACACCGAUGGCGAAGGCAGCCAGCUGGGGGCUUAUCGACGCUCAUGCCCGAAAGUGCGGGUAGCAAACAGGAUUAGAUACCAUGGUA
RNAcentral lists this ribosomal RNA (451 nucleotides) under uncultured Fibrobacter sp. Its description in RNAcentral is "partial 16S ribosomal RNA". It matches the Rfam family "Bacterial small subunit ribosomal RNA", at positions 341 to 792 of the family's 1533-position model. Lineage: Bacteria; Pseudomonadati; Fibrobacterota; Fibrobacteria; Fibrobacterales; Fibrobacteraceae. The record is from RNAcentral.